This is a non-coding RNA of Globicephala melas (long-finned pilot whale), 896 nucleotides long. NCBI's taxonomy places the organism in Eukaryota, Metazoa, Chordata, Mammalia, Artiodactyla, Delphinidae. The record is from the annotation of a RefSeq genome assembly.
AUGGUUCCAAGCUGGCUGUGCUGGGGUCGGUGGGGACCUGGGCUGAGUUUGGGACAUCAGGAGAGGGCAGCGGCGGUUUUUGUCCUGGGCCUCAGGGCUGUGAGCAACGACCCUCUGUUCUUCGGCGGGGGCACCCGGCUGACUGUGCUAGACGACCUGAGCAAGGUGACCCCACCCAAGGUGGCUGUGUUCGAGCCGUCAGCAGCAGAGAUCUCCCGGACCCAGAAGGCCACGCUCGUGUGCCUGGCCACGGGCUUCUACCCCGACCACGUGGAGCUGAGCUGGUGGGUGAACGGGAAGCAGGUCGAGACGGGGGUCAGCACGGACCCUCAGCCCCACAAGGAGGACCCCAGCCGCAACGACUCCAGCUACUGUCUGAGCAGCCGGCUGAGGGUCUCCGCCAGCUUCUGGUACAACCCUCGCAACCUCUUCCGCUGCCAAGCCUGGUUCCACGGGCUCUCGGACGAGGACGAGUGGAAGCAGGACAGGCCCAAACCCGUCACCCAGACCAUCAGUGCCGAGGUCCGGGGCCGAGCAGACUGUGGCCUCACCUCGGCGUCCUACCAGCAAGGGGUCCUGUCUGCCACCAUCCUCUAUGAGAUCCUGCUGGGGAAGGCCACCCUGUAUGCUGUGCUGGUCAGCGCCCUGGUGCUGAUGGCCAUGGUUAAGAAAAAGGAUUCCUGAGACCAGCUCCAAAAGUGCACCCUGAGUCAUUCUUCAUCCUCUCCUUGGAUGUUCCUUAACAUGUUUCCAGUCUGUGUUCCUCAAGGGUUUCUCUCUCUCCACCUUCUUUUAUCUCCUUCCUACUUGGAUAUCUGUCCCUUCUCUCAGCUUCCCUGCAGACUGAGCUCCUCCCCACUGAAUCUGAAAUUGAUUAAAGUAAUAAAAGUGUCAUG